ACAUUUGAGUGAGUGGCGAACUGGUGAGUAACACGUGGGAAACCUGCCCAGAAGCGGGGGAUAACACCUGGAAACAGAUGCUAAUACCGCAUAACAACUUGGACCGCAUGGUCCGAGUUUGAAAGAUGGCUUCGGCUAUCACUUUUGGAUGGUCCCGCGGCGUAUUAGCUAGAUGGUGGGGUAACGGCUCACCAUGGCAAUGAUACGUAGCCGACCUGAGAGGGUAAUCGGCCACAUUGGGACUGAGACACGGCCCAAACUCCUACGGGAGGCAGCAGUAGGGAAUCUUCCACAAUGGACGAAAGUCUGAUGGAGCAACGCCGCGUGAGUGAAGAAGGGUUUCGGCUCGUAAAACUCUGUUGUUAAAGAAGAACAUAUCUGAGAGUAACUGUUCAGGUAUUGACGGUAUUUAACCAGAAAGCCACGGCUAACUACGUGCCAGCAGCCGCGGUAAUACGUAGGUGGCAAGCGUUGUCCGGAUUUAUUGGGCGUAAAGCGAGCGCAGGCGGUUUUUUAAGUCUGAUGUGAAAGCCUUCGGCUCAACCGAAGAAGUGCAUCGGAAACUGGGAAACUUGAGUGCAGAAGAGGACAGUGGAACUCCAUGUGUAGCGGUGAAAUGCGUAGAUAUAUGGAAGAACACCAGUGGCGAAGGCGGCUGUCUGGUCUGUAACUGACGCUGAGGCUCGAAAGUAUGGGUAGCAAACAGGAUUAGAUACCCUGGUAGUCCAUACCGUAAACGAUGAAUGCUAAGUGUUGGAGGGUUUCCGCCCUUCAGUGCUGCAGCUAACGCAUUAAGCAUUCCGCCUGGGGAGUACGGCCGCAAGGCUGAAACUCAAAGGAAUUGACGGGGGCCCGCACAAGCGGUGGAGCAUGUGGUUUAAUUCGAAGCUACGCGAAGAACCUUACCAGGUCUUGACAUACUAUGCAAAUCUAAGAGAUUAGACGUUCCCUUCGGGGACAUGGAUACAGGUGGUGCAUGGUUGUCGUCAGCUCGUGUCGUGAGAUGUUGGGUUAAGUCCCGCAACGAGCGCAACCCUUAUUAUCAGUUGCCAGCAUUAAGUUGGGCACUCUGGUGAGACUGCCGGUGACAAACCGGAGGAAGGUGGGGAUGACGUCAAAUCAUCAUGCCCCUUAUGACCUGGGCUACACACGUGCUACAAUGGAUGGUACAACGAGUUGCGAACUCGCGAGAGUAAGCUAAUCUCUUAAAGCCAUUCUCAGUUCGGAUUGUAGGCUGCAACUCGCCUACAUGAAGUCGGAAUCGCUAGUAAUCGCGGAUCAGCAUGCCGCGGUGAAUACGUUCCCGGGCCUUGUACACACCGCCCGUCACACCAUGAGAGUUUGUAACACCCAAA
This 1355-nucleotide ribosomal RNA is filed under the name Lactiplantibacillus pentosus. Its description in RNAcentral is "bacterial SSU rRNA". It matches the Rfam family "Bacterial small subunit ribosomal RNA", at positions 83 to 1425 of the family's 1533-position model. Lineage: Bacteria; Bacillati; Bacillota; Bacilli; Lactobacillales; Lactobacillaceae. The record is from RNAcentral.